UAAGCGGGCCAUGCCGUGCAACCUUGG
This 27-nucleotide non-coding RNA is filed under the name Homo sapiens (human). Lineage: Eukaryota; Metazoa; Chordata; Mammalia; Primates; Hominidae. The record is from RNAcentral.